RNAcentral lists this non-coding RNA (105 nucleotides) under Thauera sp. Its description in RNAcentral is "SAH sequence". It matches the Rfam family "SAH (S-adenosyl-L-homocysteine) riboswitch aptamer". Lineage: Bacteria; Pseudomonadati; Pseudomonadota; Betaproteobacteria; Rhodocyclales; Zoogloeaceae. The record is from RNAcentral.
CUUUCCGAGGAGCGCUGCGAGGCGCCGGCCGCAUCCGCUGCUGCCAGGCCCCCAGGCUCGGACCCCGCCCUGCGGCGGGUAUCAGUACAACGGCGCUCACCUGCG